RNAcentral lists this ribosomal RNA (253 nucleotides) under uncultured bacterium. Its description in RNAcentral is "partial 16S ribosomal RNA". It matches the Rfam family "Bacterial small subunit ribosomal RNA", at positions 524 to 776 of the family's 1533-position model. The record is from RNAcentral.
UACAGAGACUGCAAGCGUUAUUCGGAUUCACUGGGCGUAAAGGGUGCGCAGGCGGCCGGGUGUGUCAGAUGUGAAAUCCCGAGGCUCAACCUCGGAACUGCGUCUGAAACUACUCGGCUAGAGUAUUGGAGAGGGUAACGGAAUUCACGGUGUAGCAGUGAAAUGCGUAGAUAUCGUAAGGAAGACCAGUGGCGAAGGCGGGUCUCUGGACAGUUCCUGACGCUGAGGCACGAAGGCCAGGGGAGCAAACGGG